This 253-nucleotide ribosomal RNA is filed under the name uncultured bacterium. RNAcentral describes it as "partial 16S ribosomal RNA". It matches the Rfam family "Bacterial small subunit ribosomal RNA", at positions 524 to 776 of the family's 1533-position model. The record is from RNAcentral.
UACGGGGGGGGUAAGCGUUGUUCGGAAUUACUGGGCGUAAAGGGCUCGUAGGCGGCCAACUAAGUCGGACGUGAAAUCCCUCAGCUUAACUGGGGAACUGCGUCCGAUACUGGAAGGCUUGAAUCCGGGAGAGGGAUGCGGAAUUCCAGGUGUAGCGGUGAAAUGCGUAGAUAUCUGGAGGAACACCGGUGGCGAAGGCGGUUCUCUGGGCCUUACCUGACGCUGAGGAGCGAAAGCGUGGGGAGCGAACAGG